UUGACCUCGGAUAAGGUAGGGUUACCCGCUGAACUUAA
Molecule: ribosomal RNA, 38 nt
Filed under: Talaromyces rugulosus
Lineage: Eukaryota; Fungi; Ascomycota; Eurotiomycetes; Eurotiales; Trichocomaceae
Description: partial 28S ribosomal RNA
Source: RNAcentral